RNAcentral lists this unclassified non-coding RNA (591 nucleotides) under Hevea brasiliensis (rubber tree). Lineage: Eukaryota; Viridiplantae; Streptophyta; Magnoliopsida; Malpighiales; Euphorbiaceae. The record is from RNAcentral.
AAAAAAAUGAGCGAUCGGGUCAUUUUUCACACCCCGGGACAUUCAAUUUCUGCCCCUCUUUAUAAAUUAAUACCCCCUUCAAAUUAUAGCUGUGCACUGUUGUCUCUACAUUCUAGGGUUUUCUCUACUUUUAACUUAAAAAGGAGCGGUUCUGGUCUCUAUUCUUCUUCGUCGACCGCUCCUCUUGAAAUUUCCCCUUUCCUUCCCUCUAAUUUCUUGGAAUUCUCACGCUCACAUCACUGAAUUUUCCUUUCCCACAAACAGCCCCUUAGGAUAUUUCUCUAUAUCUUCACUAUCACAACAUUUCCCCAAGCCUCUUUGUCUUUAGAGGAAAAAAUCCACAAAUUGCAUUUCCCUCCCGACGAACACCCCCCCCAAAGUUCGGUUCGCAAUUAUCCAAUGCAACUGUCCGUUCCCACCGAAACCAAUUCAAAUGCCCUCCAAAACCUCGAAAACCCUGGAUCCCCAAAACCCACUUUGACAGAAGCUAAUUCUUCCUCUGCAGCUGCGGCUUUGGCGGCGGCGAAUGAUGAGGACAACAAUAAAAGUGAUGAUAAUCUGGAUGACGAAUUGGUUCUCGAUGUUACGGGA